GUGCUCACUUCAGCAGCACAUACACUAAAAUUGGAACAAUACAGGGAAGUAUGGCCUCUGCGCAGGGAUGACAUACAAAUUCAUGAAGCAUUCCAUAUUUUU
RNAcentral lists this small nuclear RNA (102 nucleotides) under Dasypus novemcinctus (nine-banded armadillo). Lineage: Eukaryota; Metazoa; Chordata; Mammalia; Cingulata; Dasypodidae. The record is from RNAcentral.